AUUGAACGCUGGCGGCAGGCCUAACACAUGCAAGUCGAACGGCAGCACAGAAGAGCUUGCUCUUUGGGUGGCGAGUGGCGGACGGGUGAGUAAUGUCUGGGAAACUGCCCGAUGGAGGGGGAUAACUACUGGAAACGGUAGCUAAUACCGCAUAACGUCGCGAGACCAAAGUGGGGGACCUUCGGGCCUCACACCAUCGGGUGUGCCCAGAUGGGAUUAGCUAGUAGGUGGGGUAAUGGCUCACCUAGGCGACGUUCCCUAUCUGGUCUGAGAGGAUGACCAGCCACACUGGAACUGAGACACGGGCCAGACUCCUACGGGAGGCAGCAGUGGGGAAUAUUGCACAAUGGGCGCAAGCCUGAUGCAACCAUGCCGCGUGUAUGAAGAAGGCCUUCGGGUUGUAAAGUACUUUCAGCGGGGAGAAAGGCGGUGAGGUUAAUAACCUCGCCGAUUGACGUUACCCGCAGAAGAAGCACCGGCUAACUCCGUGCCAGCAGCCGCGGUAA
RNAcentral lists this ribosomal RNA (506 nucleotides) under uncultured bacterium. RNAcentral describes it as "partial 16S ribosomal RNA". It matches the Rfam family "Bacterial small subunit ribosomal RNA", at positions 30 to 523 of the family's 1533-position model. The record is from RNAcentral.